AACUUUGGGGCAUUACAAUACUAUAAGAUUAAGGUUGACCAUGUCUAUUAUGUGACUUUACCCCGUUGACCUUCUUUUCUUUAGUGGUUGUAAGCUAGUACUACUUGUGAGAAUGUAUGUGAUAGAUUUUGAGGUGUAGUAGUAAUGUCAUAGAGGUUAUUUGGUUGUAGGUAGUACCUAAGUAAAAUGAGGCAAUUGGGUUGAAUUUUCUAAUUUGAUGGACUAGUAUCAUAUGUUGAAUG
RNAcentral lists this long non-coding RNA (242 nucleotides) under Capsicum annuum. RNAcentral describes it as "long non-coding RNA (CANN_LNC007343)". The record is from RNAcentral. Lineage: Eukaryota; Viridiplantae; Streptophyta; Magnoliopsida; Solanales; Solanaceae.